This 467-nucleotide ribosomal RNA is filed under the name uncultured bacterium. RNAcentral's name for it is "partial 16S ribosomal RNA". It matches the Rfam family "Bacterial small subunit ribosomal RNA", at positions 28 to 506 of the family's 1533-position model. The record is from RNAcentral.
GACGAACGCUGGCGGCGUGCUUAACACAUGCAAGUCGAACGGAAAGGCCCUGCUUUUGUGGGGUGCUCGAGUGGCGAACGGGUGAGUAACACGUGAGUAACCUGCCCUUGACUUUGGGAUAACUUCAGGAAACUGGGGCUAAUACCGGAUAGGAGCUCCUGCUGCAUGGUGGGGGUUGGAAAGUUUCGGCGGUUGGGGAUGGACUCGCGGCUUAUCAGCUUGUUGGUGGGGUAGUGGCUUACCAAGGCUUUGACGGGUAGCCGGCCUGAGAGGGUGACCGGCCACAUUGGGACUGAGAUACGGCCCAGACUCCGACGGGAGGCAGCAGUGGGGAAUAUUGCACAAUGGGCGGAAGCCUGAUGCAGCAACGCCGCGUGCGGGAUGACGGCCUUCGGGUUGUAAACCGCUUUCGCCUGUGACGAAGCGUGAGGGACAGAAAUGGGGAAAGAAGCACCGGCGAACUACGU